CGUGACUGGUGGAUGGAUUUCUGCGAUGUACGGCAUACCCGGUUCAGUGGCAAUGCGAAUUGCCUUCGGUACGAAGGGCAGCUGGAUCCCGUCGGUGAUCAAUGCCUUCGUUGCGAUGGGCUGGUUUGCACUCCAAACCAGCAUAUCCGCCUUGGCGUUCGACAAAAUUAUCAUUCACUUUGGAGGGGAUUCCCAUUUUCUACUGUGGGUAGUGGU
This 216-nucleotide ribosomal RNA is filed under the name uncultured eukaryote. RNAcentral's name for it is "partial small subunit ribosomal RNA". The record is from RNAcentral.